CGAUCGAGUAGCAAUAAAUGAACGUAGGUAAUUCCCAAGAAGGAGGUCCUCUCAUUAUAUACUCCUAUAGUACAACAAGGUUAGAGUAAAGGUAACCACAAGAGCGUAACCACAACUGCUCAUGAUCUUUACAAACAAGGCAACUGUCCAUGAGAAUUUUCUCUAUCACAACAGACAAGUGUUUGAUAUGUUACGGGGAUGCAUCUUGGCAUCUUAAAAAAACUUAUUUGCUACUUGGCAUCGACAAACAUGUUUUUACUGUCUAUCUAUCUUGUUUUCUUUUCCCUUUUCCUUUGUGAAACACAGUCCAAACGCAGGGGUUCCAAUACACAAAUACAUAUUCACCUUUAUGAAUACACGCAUGUAGUCGCUACUUUUAUUUAUGAGCCCCUACGCCCAUAAUAUUCAAAUGACCAACUCACCCACUCUCAUCCACUUCUCAGCAUUGAAGGUAACUUCGAGAGACUUUAUCGGCGGAUCUUAAGAUUGAUGAAGUCACCACAGACGCCACAUAGACAACAAACACCCAUGCUAAGUUGAGAUCCUGAACCUAGGUUUUCCUAUUAUUUUUAUUCUUCUCAGGCAAAAUAUUCCAUUGAAACCUUUCUUUCAUUUUCGGAAUAUUAAUGUUUCAUUUAUUUUGUAAGUAGUUAUCAGAUAAUUUAUAGUCUCCAUUGUAUCACCGUUCAAUUUCUUUUGGUAGUUUGGUCCUUUGUGAAGCGUUUUUUAAAAAAUCUAAUGAUCACAUGGAACUGUUAUUAAUGGUAUCGAUUUCUUGUUGUUAACAUUGCCUAUGUUAUGCAUUC
RNAcentral lists this long non-coding RNA (806 nucleotides) under Setaria viridis. Its description in RNAcentral is "long non-coding RNA (SVIR_LNC004201)". Lineage: Eukaryota; Viridiplantae; Streptophyta; Magnoliopsida; Poales; Poaceae. The record is from RNAcentral.